RNAcentral lists this ribosomal RNA (497 nucleotides) under uncultured bacterium. Its description in RNAcentral is "partial 16S ribosomal RNA". It matches the Rfam family "Bacterial small subunit ribosomal RNA", at positions 28 to 507 of the family's 1533-position model. The record is from RNAcentral.
GAUGAACGCUGGCGGCGUGCCUAAUACAUGCAAGUCGAGCGAACGGACGAGAAGCUUGCUUCUCUGAUGUUAGCGGCGGACGGGUGAGUAACACGUGGAUAACCUACCUAUAAGACUGGGAUAACCUCGGGAAACCGUAGCUAAUACCGGAUAAUAUUUUGAACCGCAUGGUUCAAAAGUGAAAGACGGUCUUGCUGUCACUUAUAGAUGGAUCCGCGCUGCAUUAGCUAGUUGGUAAGGUAACGGCUUACCAAGGCAACGAUGCAUAGCCGACCUGAGAGGGUGAUCUGCCACACUGGAACUGAGACACGGUCCAGACUCCUACGGGAGGCAGCAGUAGGGAAUCUUCCGCAAUGGGCGAAAGCCUGACGGAGCAACGCCGCGUGAGUGAUGAAGGUCUUCGGAUCGUAAAACUCUGUUAUUAGGGAAGAACAUAUGUGUAAGUAACUGUGCACAUCUUGACGGUACCUAAUCAGAAAGCCACGGCUAACUACGUG